CUCCGGCGACCAGCAUCGUUCCAAGGCUUUCCUGGCAAGUUUUCCGGCAGCCCGGGUGAAUCUGCUCUCUUGCGUACUCGUAUGUCCAGAAGUAAACUCCAUGUGAAGGUGCAUCUCUCAGGACAGUGAUCCAUAGGCCUCGGUAUACACCUUUCAUCCCUUCCUUGUUUACGAUCUCCUUGGCAACGCUGAUCGGUCCUAUCCCACCUCUUUUGUAGCCCUUGUCGCCGGUCAUCUGCAGCUGAAGCUUUAUCUUCACAAGCUCGACCGGGCUUAGUAUCAGACUCUGCAAGGCGCCCGUUCCAACUCCACUCAGCGCAACACUUGUAUAGGAAGGGGGUUCGUUCAUGCUCUUGGAAUCAAAAGC
Molecule: long non-coding RNA, 367 nt
Filed under: Musa acuminata (dwarf banana)
Lineage: Eukaryota; Viridiplantae; Streptophyta; Magnoliopsida; Zingiberales; Musaceae
Description: long non-coding RNA (MACU_LNC003171)
Source: RNAcentral